Molecule: ribosomal RNA, 500 nt
Filed under: uncultured bacterium
Lineage: Bacteria
Description: partial 16S ribosomal RNA
Rfam family: Bacterial small subunit ribosomal RNA
Source: RNAcentral
AUUGAACGCUGGCGGAAUGCUUUACACAUGCAAGUCGAACGGCAGCACGGACUUCGGUCUGGUGGCGAGUGGCGAACGGGUGAGUAAUGUAUCGGAACGUGCCCAGUCGUGGGGGAUAACGUAGUGAAAAUUACGCUAAUACCGCAUACGAUCUAUGGACGAAAGCGGGGGAUCGCAAGACCUCGCGCGAUUGGAGCGGCCGAUAUCAGAUUAGGUAGUUGGUGGGGUAAAGGCCCACCAAGUCAACGAUCUGUAGCUGGUCUGAGAGGACGAACAGCCACACUGGAACUGAGACACGGUCCAGACUCCUACGGGAGGCAGCAGUGGGGAAUUUUGGACAAUGGGCGAAAGUCUGAUCCAGCCAUUCCGCGUGCAGGAUGAAGGCCCUCGGGUUGUAAACUGCUUUUGUACAGAACGAAAAGGUUUCUACUAAUACUAGGAGCUCAUGACGGUACUGUAAGAAUAAGCACCGGCUAACUACGUGCCAGCAGCCGCGGUAA